RNAcentral lists this unclassified non-coding RNA (400 nucleotides) under soil metagenome. RNAcentral describes it as "partial contains 5.8S ribosomal RNA, internal transcribed spacer 2, and large subunit ribosomal RNA". The stretch from base 1 to 122 matches the Rfam family "5.8S ribosomal RNA", at positions 35 to 154 of the family's 154-position model. The record is from RNAcentral.
GAUGAAGAACGUAGCGAAAUGCGAUACUUGGUGUGAAUUGCAGAAUCCCGUGAACCAUCGAGUCUUUGAACGCAAGUUGCGCCUCAAGCCAUUAGGUUGAGGGCACGUCUGCCUGGGCGUCACAUAUCGUUGCCUGAUGCCAGUUUCCUCGUGAUGGGUGACUGUGCAGGGCGAAUGAUGGCUUCCCGUGAGCAAUGUUGCCUCAUGGUUGGUUGAAAAUUGAGUCCUUGGUAGGGAGCGCCGUGAUAGAUGGUGGUUGAGUGACGAACGAGACCCAAUCAUGUGAGACCCCUACCGAAUUUGGCCUUCAUGACCCACAUGCGUCUUUGGAACGCUCAUGACGAGACCUCAGGUCAGGCGGGGCUACCCGCUGAGUUUAAGCAUAUCAAUAAGCGGAGGA